ACUCCUACGGGAGGCAGCAGUAGGGAAUCUUCCACAAUGGACGAAAGUCUGAUGGAGCAACGCCGCGUGAACGAUGAAGGCCUUCGGUCGUAAAGUUCUGUUGUAAGGGAAGAACAAGUGCCGCAGGCAAUGGCGGCACCUUGACGGUACCUUGCGAGAAAGCCACGGCUAACUACGUGCCAGCAGCCGCGGUAAUACGUAGGUGGCAAGCGUUGUCCGGAAUUAUUGGGCGUAAAGCGCGCGCAGGCGGCCUCUUAAGUCUGAUGUGAAAGCCCCGGCUCAACCGGGGGAGGGCCAUUGGAAACUGGGAGGCUUGAGUAUAGGAGAGAAGAGUGGAAUUCCACGUGUAGCGGUGAAAUGCGUAGAGAUGU
This 371-nucleotide ribosomal RNA is filed under the name uncultured bacterium. RNAcentral describes it as "bacterial SSU rRNA". It matches the Rfam family "Bacterial small subunit ribosomal RNA", at positions 335 to 699 of the family's 1533-position model. The record is from RNAcentral.